UCAACGCCGGUGAGCUUCUGCGCCAGUGGGCAGGACGAGAACAGUCGGGCUUCGGGCCCGAGUUCUACGCCAGCUGCCCGGCCAGAACGCCACCCCCGUCUGCCGUGCCGCCUGCUGCUCGAGGCCGGCGUUCGAGCUUCCGUGCCCGUGGUGGAGACAGGAGCAGUCGGGCUACGGGCCCGAGCUCUCUGCCCGGCCAGAACGCCGCCGCCGUCCACUCCUGCCACCAAGCCGCCCACUUUUCCUCGCCUAGCCAGAGCGGGCGCACUCCGGUCGCCCGGUCGGUCAGCUUACACCGCGACCUAUGGUGAGACCGGCAGCACUCCUUUCGCCAGCUUGUCGCCGCGUCGCCGCUGUGACGCGUCCCCGCCCUCGUGGCAAGCCCGGACUCGCGCACUCGUUAACCACAUGCAAGCCCUAUGUGUGUUCGUUGCCGCAAUGUCUUCGCACAUACCUGCAGGCAAGGGAGACGACAUGAAAGAGUGAAGACAUACGCUAUGUGUCCUCUACAAACGCGCAAAUAGUAAGAGAGAAAGGCCGCCACUCAAAUGACCGUGAAAAUGAAACUCUACAAUGCCAAAACUCCAGUAAGAAGACCUGCUGAAGGAACUAACCCAGCAACCUGUUUCCAUACACAAGGAGCCCACAAGGAUUUUUGUGCUCUCAGUGCACGAAAAAGCCAAGUUGAAUUUUGAAGUGGACGGAGGGUGGAAUCUGUUUAGCAUCGUGGAGAGUCAUAUGCGUCAGACCUGAGAAAGCGCAUCGAGAACAUUGGAAGAAUUCAAGCCUGCUGAAGAAGUUAAGAGGAAGAGGAAGCUUAAGCUCGUGUGCUCCUAUAUAAAUACACGUGAAAGGAGAAUUCGUUUUCUCGGCUGACGCUGCACCAAAUUUGGCGAGGUUUGUUGCAUUUGAAAGAAAAACGCAAAUUCUAGUGACUGUGGGUUUUGAA
Long non-coding RNA from Dermacentor andersoni, 949 nucleotides. RefSeq lists it as uncharacterized. NCBI's taxonomy places the organism in Eukaryota, Metazoa, Arthropoda, Arachnida, Ixodida, Ixodidae. The record is from RefSeq and is a predicted model, not a curated record.